This 423-nucleotide ribosomal RNA is filed under the name Sarcoptes scabiei. RNAcentral's name for it is "partial 28S ribosomal RNA". It matches the Rfam family "Eukaryotic large subunit ribosomal RNA", at positions 884 to 1298 of the family's 3401-position model. Lineage: Eukaryota; Metazoa; Arthropoda; Arachnida; Sarcoptiformes; Sarcoptidae. The record is from RNAcentral.
UUCUGACGUGCAAAUCGAUCGUCAGACCUGGGUAUAGGGGCGAAAGACUAAUCGAACCAUCUAGUAGCUGGUUCCCUCCGAAGUUUCCCUCAGGAUAGCAGGCGCUCGAUUAGAUCAGUCUCAUCCGGUAGAGCUAAUGAUUAGAGGUCUUGGGGUUGAAACGACCUCAACCUAUUCUCAAACUUUAAAUGGGUGAGAUGGUUGACUUGCUUGAUUUGAAGCCAACCAAUUGGAUGUAUGGGUGCCUAGUGGGCCAGCUUUGGUAAGCAGAACUGGCGCUGUGGGAUGAACCAAACGUCGAGAUAAGGCAUCAAAUGCAUACACGCUCAUGAGACCCCAUGAAAGGUGUUGGUUGCUAUAGACAGCAGGACGGUGGUCAUGGAAGUCGGAAUCCGCUAAGGAGUGUGUAACAACUCACCUGCC